RNAcentral lists this ribosomal RNA (482 nucleotides) under uncultured bacterium. RNAcentral describes it as "bacterial SSU rRNA". It matches the Rfam family "Bacterial small subunit ribosomal RNA", at positions 30 to 506 of the family's 1533-position model. The record is from RNAcentral.
UUGAACGCUGGCGGCAUGCCUUACGCAUGCAAGUCGAACGGUAACAGGUCUUCGGAUGCUGACGAGUGGCGAACGGGUGAGUAAUACAUCGGAACGUGCCCAGUCGUGGGGGAUAACGCAGCGAAAGCUGUGCUAAUACCGCAUACGAUCUCUGGAUGAAAGCGGGGGACUCGCAAGGGCCUCGCGCGAUUGGAGCGGCCGAUAUCAGAUUAGCUAGUUGGUGGGGUAAAAGCCCACCAAGGCGACGAUCUGUAGCUGGUCUGAGAGGACGACCAGCCACACUGGAACUGAGACACGGUCCAGACUCCUACGGGAGGCAGCAGUGGGGAAUUUUGGACAAUGGGCGCAAGCCUGAUCCAGCAAUGCCGCGUGCAGGAUGAAGGCCUUCGGGUUGUAAACUGCUUUUGUACGGAACGAAACGGCUCUUUUUAAUACAGAGGGCUAAUGACGGUACCGUAAGAAUAAGCACCGGCUAACUACGU